Molecule: ribosomal RNA, 121 nt
Filed under: Lobelia holstii
Lineage: Eukaryota; Viridiplantae; Streptophyta; Magnoliopsida; Asterales; Campanulaceae
Source: RNAcentral
GAUUCUGGUGUCCUAGGCGUAGAGGAACCACACCAACCCAUCCCGAAUUUGGUGGUUAAAUUCUACUGCGGUGACAAUACUGUCGGGGAGGCCUUGCGGAAAAAGAGCUCGGCGCCAGGAU